GGGUUGUGAGGUUAAGCGACUAAGCGUACACGGUGGAUGCCCUGGCAGUCAGAGGCGAUGAAGGACGUGCUAAUCUGCGAUAAGCGUCGGUAAGGUGAUAUGAACCGUUAUAACCGGCGAUUUCCGAAUGGGGAAACCCAGUGUGUUUCGACACACUAUCAUUAACUGAAUCCAUAGGUUAAUGAGGCGAACCGGGGGAACUGAAACAUCUAAGUACCCCGAGGAAAAGAAAUCAACCGAGAUUCCCCCAGUAGCGGCGAGCGAACGGGGAGCAGCCCAGAGCCUGAAUCAGUGUGUGUGUUAGUGGAAGCGUCUGGAAAGGCGCGCGAUACAGGGUGACAGCCCCGUACACAAAAAUGCACAUACUGUGAGCUCGAUGAGUAGGGCGGGACACGUGGUAUCCUGUCUGAAUAUGGGGGGACCAUCCUCCAAGGCUAAAUACUCCUGACUGACCGAUAGUGAACCAGUACCGUGAGGGAAAGGCGAAAAGAACCCCGGCGAGGGGAGUGAAAAAGAACCUGAAACCGUGUACGUACAAGCAGUGGGAGCACGCUUAGGCGUGUGACUGCGUACCUUUUGUAUAAUGGGUCAGCGACUUAUAUUCUGUAGCAAGGUUAACCGAAUAGGGGAGCCGAAGGGAAACCGAGUCUUAACUGGGCGUUAAGUUGCAGGGUAUAGACCCGAAACCCGGUGAUCUAGCCAUGGGCAGGUUGAAGGUUGGGUAACACUAACUGGAGGACCGAACCGACUAAUGUUGAAAAAUUAGCGGAUGACUUGUGGCUGGGGGUGAAAGGCCAAUCAAACCGGGAGAUAGCUGGUUCUCCCCGAAAGCUAUUUAGGUAGCGCCUCGUGAAUUCAUCUCCGGGGGUAGAGCACUGUUUCGGCAAGGGGGUCAUCCCGACUUACCAACCCGAUGCAAACUGCGAAUACCGGAGAAUGUUAUCACGGGAGACACACGGCGGGUGCUAACGUCCGUCGUGAAGAGGGAAACAACCCAGACCGCCAGCUAAGGUCCCAAAGUCAUGGUUAAGUGGGAAACGAUGUGGGAAGGCCCAGACAGCCAGGAUGUUGGCUUAGAAGCAGCCAUCAUUUAAAGAAAGCGUAAUAGCUCACUGGUCGAGUCGGCCUGCGCGGAAGAUGUAACGGGGCUAAACCAUGCACCGAAGCUGCGGCAGCGACGCUUAUGCGUUGUUGGGUAGGGGAGCGUUCUGUAAGCCUGCGAAGGUGUGCUGUGAGGCAUGCUGGAGGUAUCAGAAGUGCGAAUGCUGACAUAAGUAACGAUAAAGCGGGUGAAAAGCCCGCUCGCCGGAAGACCAAGGGUUCCUGUCCAACGUUAAUCGGGGCAGGGUGAGUCGACCCCUAAGGCGAGGCCGAAAGGCGUAGUCGAUGGGAAACAGGUUAAUAUUCCUGUACUUGGUGUUACUGCGAAGGGGGGACGGAGAAGGCUAUGUUGGCCGGGCGACGGUUGUCCCGGUUUAAGCGUGUAGGCUGGUUUUCCAGGCAAAUCCGGAAAAUCAAGGCUGAGGCGUGAUGACGAGGCACUACGGUGCUGAAGCAACAAAUGCCCUGCUUCCAGGAAAAGCCUCUAAGCAUCAGGUAACAUCAAAUCGUACCCCAAACCGACACAGGUGGUCAGGUAGAGAAUACCAAGGCGCUUGAGAGAACUCGGGUGAAGGAACUAGGCAAAAUGGUGCCGUAACUUCGGGAGAAGGCACGCUGAUAUGUAGGUGAAGUCCCUCGCGGAUGGAGCUGAAAUCAGUCGAAGAUACCAGCUGGCUGCAACUGUUUAUUAAAAACACAGCACUGUGCAAACACGAAAGUGGACGUAUACGGUGUGACGCCUGCCCGGUGCCGGAAGGUUAAUUGAUGGGGUCAGCGCAAGCGAAGCUCUUGAUCGAAGCCCCGGUAAACGGCGGCCGUAACUAUAACGGUCCUAAGGUAGCGAAAUUCCUUGUCGGGUAAGUUCCGACCUGCACGAAUGGCGUAAUGAUGGCCAGGCUGUCUCCACCCGAGACUCAGUGAAAUUGAACUCGCUGUGAAGAUGCAGUGUACCCGCGGCAAGACGGAAAGACCCCGUGAACCUUUACUAUAGCUUGACACUGAACAUUGAGCCUUGAUGUGUAGGAUAGGUGGGAGGCUUUGAAGUGUGGACGCCAGUCUGCAUGGAGCCGACCUUGAAAUACCACCCUUUAAUGUUUGAUGUUCUAACGUUGACCCGUAAUCCGGGUUGCGGACAGUGUCUGGUGGGUAGUUUGACUGGGGCGGUCUCCUCCUAAAGAGUAACGGAGGAGCACGAAGGUUGGCUAAUCCUGGUCGGACAUCAGGAGGUUAGUGCAAUGGCAUAAGCCAGCUUGACUGCGAGCGUGACGGCGCGAGCAGGUGCGAAAGCAGGUCAUAGUGAUCCGGUGGUUCUGAAUGGAAGGGCCAUCGCUCAACGGAUAAAAGGUACUCCGGGGAUAACAGGCUGAUACCGCCCAAGAGUUCAUAUCGACGGCGGUGUUUGGCACCUCGAUGUCGGCUCAUCACAUCCUGGGGCUGAAGUAGGUCCCAAGGGUAUGGCUGUUCGCCAUUUAAAGUGGUACGCGAGCUGGGUUUAGAACGUCGUGAGACAGUUCGGUCCCUAUCUGCCGUGGGCGCUGGAGAACUGAGGGGGGCUGCUCCUAGUACGAGAGGACCGGAGUGGACGCAUCACUGGUGUUCGGGUUGUCAUGCCAAUGGCACUGCCCGGUAGCUAAAUGCGGAAGAGAUAAGUGCUGAAAGCAUCUAAGCACGAAACUUGCCCCGAGAUGAGUUCUCCCUGACUCCUUGAGAGUCCUGAAGGAACGUUGAAGACGACGACGUUGAUAGGCCGGGUGUGUAAGCGCAGCGAUGCGUUGAGCUAACCGGUACUAAUGAACCGUGAGGCUUAACCUUACAACGCCGAAG
Molecule: ribosomal RNA, 2925 nt
Filed under: Escherichia coli
Lineage: Bacteria; Pseudomonadati; Pseudomonadota; Gammaproteobacteria; Enterobacterales; Enterobacteriaceae
Description: partial 23S ribosomal RNA
Rfam family: Bacterial large subunit ribosomal RNA
Source: RNAcentral